UCAGAGUCAGCCCAAUCCACUAGUACAAUUCUACCUCCCAGAGAGAGUACAGUACACACAGAACCAAAUAGAAAUAGCCAGAUCAAUCAUCGAUCCAAAGAGGAUCUCAAAUCUGGACGCCUACUCUUCUUCCUCCCAAAACCGGCCACAACAACAUAUGCUACAGAUUACUCAAACAAAUAGCACCCAAGUUACUGUAGCACAACAGAUUCACAAAAAUCUAUCAAGAAAUAACUAAUCUCCAGUUUAUACGACCCAAAGAAGAAAGGGAGAAAAAUUUCUCCCAAAAACGAAGAGAGAG
RNAcentral lists this long non-coding RNA (301 nucleotides) under Olea europaea (common olive). Its description in RNAcentral is "long non-coding RNA (OEUR_LNC013332)". Lineage: Eukaryota; Viridiplantae; Streptophyta; Magnoliopsida; Lamiales; Oleaceae. The record is from RNAcentral.